Molecule: non-coding RNA, 186 nt
Filed under: Desulfobacula toluolica
Lineage: Bacteria; Pseudomonadati; Thermodesulfobacteriota; Desulfobacteria; Desulfobacterales; Desulfobacteraceae
Also listed under: 1 other name
Source: RNAcentral
GCUUAAGUACUUUGUUCUGGUGCUUAAAAGCAUAAUAGGGAAUUCCGUGAAAAUCGGGAACGGGCCCGCCGCUGUAACCGGGGACGAAUGCCGCAGAAAAUCCACUGCCUGAAUUAUUUCAGGUGGGAAGGGGCGGUUGUAGGACGAACCGGAAGUCAGAAGACCUGCCUGAACAAAAUGGUUUAU